This 253-nucleotide ribosomal RNA is filed under the name uncultured bacterium. RNAcentral's name for it is "partial 16S ribosomal RNA". It matches the Rfam family "Bacterial small subunit ribosomal RNA", at positions 524 to 776 of the family's 1533-position model. The record is from RNAcentral.
UACAGAGGUCCCAAGCGUUGUUCGGAUUUACUGGGCGUAAAGGGCGCGUAGGCGGUUGGGUAAGUCUGAUGUGAAAUCUCCGGGCUUAACCCGGAAAUGGCAUUGAAUACUAUUCGGCUAGAGGUUUGGAGGGGGGACUGGAAUUCUUGGUGUAGCAGUGAAAUGCGUAGAUAUCAAGAGGAACACCGAUGGCGAAGGCAAUCCCCUUGGCCUGUACUGACGCUCAUGCACGAAAGCGUGGGGAGCAAACAGG